Molecule: long non-coding RNA, 1120 nt
Organism: Puntigrus tetrazona (Sumatra barb)
Lineage: Eukaryota; Metazoa; Chordata; Actinopteri; Cypriniformes; Cyprinidae
Exons: 5
Source: RefSeq, a predicted model, not a curated record
GAGGGGAGCGAUUUGUGUUUGGUUGUUGCGCUCUCACGUUUGCUUUAUUGGCUUCCAUUUUGAUUCUGUUUGUUUAGUUACCGUGUGUUAAGUUGUUUCUCUUUUGCAUUUGUAAGAGCUUGAUUAUUGAACUGCAUUCGUGCUGUGACUCGACUCUUGGGGUUCCGAGUUGAAUUCUGUCCUACAUCAACACAUAGUGAUGGGACUAGCUGAGCAUGUCACGUGACGUACAUUUUGCAACACACAGGGUAACAUUUGUUUAAUCACACUAGUUAGGGAGCGGGGGGGUAUUCCAGAAAGCUUGGUUAACUUACCAUUUGAUAAAUCAUAACCUCUGGGUUGAUUUACCCCAAACAGGCAUACCAUGAGUAUGUCGGUUCCAAAACACCUGAGAAGAGUUAGUUUAAUCAACCUCCAACUGGUUACCCAGAGUUAGUGCGCGUGCACGGUGCAUGUAGAAAGACAUUUUCAAUGGAUCGCCGAUUUCACGAGUCACCAUGGAAACUCAAAGCGGAAAAAAGAGAGCGGCGUAUUUCACAGAGACAGAGUUGGAGGUUUUAAUGCAUGCUUAUGAGGAGUUAAAGCCAAUAAUAUUAAAAAGAAGCAAUACAGCUGCAUCAGCGAAAGCAAGAGAGUUGGCUUGGCAAAUAAUAACCGACAGAGUGAAUGCGUGUAAUCCUUCUGGAGCCACAAGAACUUUAAGCCAAGUCACAAAUGAAAUGAAACACAAAACCAUUCCGCAAAAGGUAAUAUUUGAUUACACAAUUACUGAACUAUUAUUAUAACAGGAUUUAGUAUAUUCAUUCAGUCAUGUAGCUAAUAGAAAGAAGACUGAAGGCUCCGUCUGAGGAGCUGGCUCUGUCUCUUAAUAAAGAGCAUCCAGGGGCCAGUUCAUCACACACAGCAUGCACCACAAGUGAUGAAAUACACUGAUGGACUCUCCAGAAAGAACACAGUCUGUCACAGACUUGAUGAAGAUGACGAUGAAUAGACUACAUCUGCUGUGACAGAAGUGGACAAUGCUGGUAGAUGCACUGAGAACAUACCUAGGGGUUUGCCCACAGAUGAGGGUCCUUCAACCUCAGCACACAAUCUAAGCAGGGUAACAAUUUGUGUCCAG